GGUGAUGUAGCUCAGUCGGUUAGAGCGCGGGAUUCAUAACCCCGAGGUCGGCGGAUCGUUCCCGCCCAUCACCACC
Molecule: transfer RNA, 76 nt
Filed under: compost metagenome
Description: tRNA-Met
Rfam family: tRNA
About the family: Transfer RNA (tRNA) molecules are approximately 80 nucleotides in length. Their secondary structure includes four short double-helical elements and three loops (D, anti-codon, and T loops).
Source: RNAcentral